Molecule: ribosomal RNA, 468 nt
Filed under: uncultured bacterium
Lineage: Bacteria
Description: partial 16S ribosomal RNA
Rfam family: Bacterial small subunit ribosomal RNA
Source: RNAcentral
GACGAACGCUGGCGGCGUGCUUAACACAUGCGAGUCGAACGGAAAGGCCCUGCUUUUGUGGGGUGCUCGAGUGGCGAACGGGUGAGUAGCACGUGAGUAACCUGCCCUUGACUUUGGGAUAACUUCAGGAAACUGGGGCUAAUACCGGAUAGGAGCUCCUGCUGCAUGGUGGGGGUUGGAAAGUUCCGGCGGUUGGGGAUGGACUCGCGGCUUAUCAGCUUGUUGGUGGGGUAGUGGCUUACCAAGGCUUUGACGGGUAGCCGGCCUGAGAGGGUGACCGGCCACAUUGGGACUGAGAUACGGCCCAGACUCCUACGGGAGGCAGCAGUGGGGAAUAUUGCACAAUGGGCGGAAGCCUGAUGCAGCAACGCCGCGUGCGGGAUGACGGCCUUCGGGUUGUAAACCGCUUUCGCCUGUGACGAAGCGUGAGUGACGGUAAUGGGUAAAGAAGCACCGGCUAACUACGUG